AUCGGGGCUGGGUCCGUUAAAGUGCAUAAUUACCCUCAAAAAUUUUAUAGCGCUAUUUUAUUGUUAUUUUAAAUCACGCUGGCGAUUUUAGCGCUACUAACGGCGUUGCAUAGUCAAUCGAUUUAUUUUUUAUGUUUUGUUAUUCAUUGUUCGAAAUGGAUCGAUAUUCGCGAGACAAGUCUGGACUUCGACGGAUUUUAACUUGCCCCGUGUGAGGCUGGCUUUCCUAGCCAGUUUAGAGUUUUUCUCGCUAGAUCUAACUAGUUCUCGCCAGAUGCAGUUUAAUCUAGUCUCGCUCAACCUUGAGAGGGUUUACAUUCGACAAGGUCAGGCAAGGUAUCGGGGUCCGACUGCAGCCACUUAGCGCUACAGCACUUUCUAUCCUCUUCUCGUUUAAAAGAGGAAAAAGGAUAGAAGGUGUUCUGAAGUAUCUGAAACGUCAACUGGACCGCAUCCUCGGUCCUAUUUAGAGAUUCAGCAAACUCAAAACAAGAUCAAAGCAAGAUCAGGGGAAGUGCGGCAAAGGUAGUUCAGGUAGUUUCGGCGAAGGUCACGCAGGCUAGCGUGAGGUUGGAUUUCAGCGAGAUUCAGACUGGACAACUUCAGAUCGGAUCAGACGAGGCCGAAUGGGACGGAGGUCCUCGGAAUCAAAGAACACGAGAGAAGCACGUGCGAGCGGGCGCUUCGACGUGAUCGAUAACGAACAGGCGGAUAUCGACGAUAUAUUUCACUUGUAGGCAGCUGGAUUCGCGCCGACCGCCGAAGGAUGUUUCGCCCGCGCAUGCACGGCCGCAUGUUCGUUUCUCGCGUUACGUUCCCUUGCGAUUGACAGAUCGAACAGUCGCCGUGGAAAGCGUUUCGGAGCCCGAUCGCCGUCCCUCCGCGCUCGACCGAUUUGGUUCGGCGCAGCCGAAUUCGGCUGAACCGCGCGUCUUCGCAAUCGGAAUUGCCGUAAUUGUAAAUAUCUUCCCUUCUCUUUUCGCACUUGUCGUCGUCAUCUCAGCUCCGCCUCGCGAUCCGCUUCGCGUCGGCGAGGCGUCAGUGCACGCGCGACUCCGCGUGCUGAUUUGCAAUUGUAUUGUUGUAGAAGGAGUGUAAUAGGUGAAGCCACGCGUUAAGUUGAAAUUCUUAUUUUAUGCUUUUUGUAAUCAUUAUUUGAUAAUUAUGCUCGCACGGCCUGAAUUUGAUUUUGAUGCUUCAAAUUUCGUCACGCUCGGUUUGACGAAAUGAGGACUGGAUAGCAUUCGUCAAGUGUACGAGCUUUAAAAGUGUGAGGGCAAGUUUGAAAUGUGAGGUCUGGUGACUCAUGUAUCUGACAUUACUCUGAUAUCACUCAUCUAGCGGAAAUAAAAUACUUUAUUCGCAAUCGGAUACGUCGACGCACACGUGUUACACAUAUUAUUAUGAUUUUAAUAUAUAUAUUAAAAUAUAUUAUACGUUGCUCUCUCUUUUUGAAUUUUUUUUUAAUUGUAUUGAUCCUUUAUCUAAGUAGUAACUAAGUUUAAUUAAUUUCAAAUCCCGGAAUAUUUAAAUCUCUUGGAGCACAUAAAAUAGAUAUUUUACAUUUAGAGUUUACGACCUAACAGCACGCACGUCGCACAGCAAUAUUUCAGGAACACGUAUGUGCCUGCAAAAGACGCCGAGGCAUUUAAUUCUCACUCUGUUGCGCGUAAUUUAUGCGAUAGAUCACCGCAUCGCGUUGAACACUGUACAAUGGCCAGUCCGACGAAUACGCAAACAUCACUCCCUGACAUUUAACGACAGGGAGAGGAGAGGGGAGAACGGGAGGGUUAAUCGCGUCCUUUUAUCAAUUGAGAGCGUUAUCGAGGCCACGAGGACGUUCUCUGCGCAGGUGCCUGGCGCGGCAUGCGAGACCAUUGUUCGAUCGUUCUUUCUCAGUUGGAACUGGAAGGCGCUCGUCAUACCCGCGGCCCUGAUGUGGAUCGUCGUCGUCGUCUCGGCGACACGGGCCGAUCGAAUCAAUCUUGAUGAAAGAUAAAAAAACGCAGAGGGAACGGCACACGCGCGAGUCACCAGACCUGAUCCACGUGGUCGUAAAUUAAACGUCGAUCAACCGGCGCCAGUCAUCGGGAUUUAUCGCGAACUUAUCGGGAACUAGAGAGAACGGCACUGUCGUCCCGUUUCGUCUUAUCGAUCAUGUCGCCCAUUCGCGACAGGAGUAUAUCCAUGACGAUAAAGUCUCUCCGUUGUUCGCGCCGGAGCGAUAACUUGAUUUCCGACCCGAGGGAGAAGGGCCGAAUUGGGUUAAGGCCAAUUAAAUCAAACGGCGUGCCACAAACGCGACCGUUGCACUUCUCGAGAUUGGCACGGCCAGGGAAAAUGUCUCAGUUCCCUGUUUCAAGUGGCCUCAAGCGAGAAUGGAAAUUAGAUGGGACACGCGAGGUUCCUUUAUUUUAAGGUGUCUGCUAUGGCGAGACUUGCUAAUUUGUUAAUUUAAUAGAGGAAAUCCUCCCUCCCCCAGAACGCGGGCUCGCAGGUUCUUUUCCUGCAAAAGUCGUUUGUCCAUUUUUACCUCUCUCGUGUUUCUUCCAAUUCAAUUCUGAAAAUGCUACCGAACUCGUAAACUUCUGAGAAAAUCACGCGAGGGUUGUUAAAACAAUGUUUUAACUAUGAAUAUUGUAUUAUUAUUAAUAGUACAAUAUUAUAUUGUUAUCGUAUUUCUCUCAUUUUGGAAAUAUACAUAUAUUUUAUACCAUUUGUUAUUUGACAAAUCUGUUAUUAAUUCUCUGUUGAAAGAGAAUAGGAUGCUCUUUUAUCCACUUAAUAAUACCAUUCUAAAUAUUUAGAGAAAACAUUCGUUCUCCUCUCAUCGAGAGAGUCUACAGUUUGCCAUUGCAAACGACGGCGGGGAACAAAAA
Molecule: long non-coding RNA, 2879 nt
Organism: Ooceraea biroi (clonal raider ant)
Lineage: Eukaryota; Metazoa; Arthropoda; Insecta; Hymenoptera; Formicidae
Source: RefSeq, a predicted model, not a curated record